This 1866-nucleotide long non-coding RNA is filed under the name Mus musculus (house mouse). RNAcentral's name for it is "predicted gene, 57047". The record is from RNAcentral. Lineage: Eukaryota; Metazoa; Chordata; Mammalia; Rodentia; Muridae.
GUCGCAGCACUCUGCAGGCUGAGGGAGCUCUCUCGCUCUUUAUCCAGUUCCUCACCCCGCGCCUCCCACCCCGCCCCCCAUUUUUGUUUUGGCGGGGAAGGUAGGUAACUACAUAGUAAACGCUACCUUAAACCGAAAGAGAAAUAGGAUUUUUCUUUAAAAAAAAAAGUAAACUGUCCUUUUGUAUUGCCUUCAGACUCGGGCAGUUUGUUCCUAAUGCAGGCCCCGAUGUGGGACUCAAGCGUGUGCUAGGCACAUCGCAGGCUGUAGGCUGGUGUCUGCAUGUAGAGACUAACUUCCAUGGAAGUGUCGGGCAAAGGCUGCUAUCGGAGCCGGGAGUCUACUUUGACCUCUGGAAUGCGUUGCAUUUUUUUUUUUCCGUCCAGGUUGACUUACUGCCUAAUUGGGUUCAGGAGAGUGGCCUGGCGGUUUGCUCCAAUUUAUGCAAGCCAAGCGGGGAUUGGGGGCAGAGAACUGAAUGUGGCCUUGGUAUGGGGUGAUCAGUUGACUCUUGUGACUGGCAGCUGCUGAGGCUUGUUUUUGAUCUGAAGGUUCCAUGGUGAGGCUGGCUUCUGAAGCCACACAGACCCUGGCUUGAGUUCACCAGCUACAAGGAGGUAGGAUCCUGCCAACCUGUGGUCUGGGACAGAUUACCUUAGUCUACAUCCAACGUUUUGUACAUGUGUCCUGUAAGACUGGACAGUUCUGUUUUUAUCAAUAAGUCACUAUUGGCUUGAGUUGGCCCUUCGCAGGUGCUUGAUAUAGUCGCAGAUACUGGGGAGUGGGGAGGAAUAAUUUAGGGCCCCUUGGAGGUUUAAAAUAACAACUCCAGCAAUAAUAGCAGAUGCUCACAUAACUCCUUACUGUGUCUGGCAUGUUGCUAAGUGGAUUACAGACAUCAGUUAAUUUAGCCUCACAAGGGCACUAUGUUAAGUACUGUUGUUAUUCUUAUACUAAAUGCAAGGAAAUUGAGUCAGAGCUCCAGAUCACCGCCGGUCGGUACAGAACUGGGAUUCUAACUCCGUUAGACUCAGCCUCUGUACUGCCCUGAAGCACCACGGGAAAGGACUUUUUCUCCUCCAGUUUUGGAGUGAGGCCACCUAUUAGCAAGAGGGUGGGUUUGGGUUUGUUGGUGUUGAGGGCACAGAAACAAAGCAUAGCUUCCUGGUGGAGCGUUAGGUGAAACAGACAAGUGGAGUGGGUAGGCAUUUUAAGGGGGAGCCUGACCCUGGUUUGGAAUAUUCAGUAUGCACUGUUAGAUGUUUCCGGUAAUGAGAAGACAAGCAGGAGCCAUUCUUAGUGGUUAUUUAGGUGUCUUAUAUAAGUAGUUUUUUCAUUAGCCUUUCUGUAGAAAGAAAAAACAAUCUCAGGAUAGAAUAGACAGGACCUCAGUGUUGGGAUGUAGCCAUGCUAGUAAUACUGCCUAGAGCCACUCACCUAACCCUGCCUGAAGUUCCUUAAAGAUAGCCAACCUCUCUGUUCUGUGGAUGGAUCACUUAGGACUCAGAGUCAGCCUCCCAAGGUAGUCUGUGGACAGGAGAGAAUGCAGGUUCUGUAGUUGACCAAGGCCCAUACAUGACCUAUAUUACCAGAUCAUCCAGGGAACCGGUAAAAUGCAAAUGUCUGGGCUCCACCCCCUGGGUGUGGGCUUAGUACCAGGUCACCAUGGUUCGCUCUUUAUGCUGCUGAGUUGAAAACAGUUUGUAUGUCUAACCACUAAGAGAUUUGGGAAUCUGGGAGCGAACCUUUGAAUGAUCCUCCUCCCUACAAAUCUCGCUCGUCGAGUUAACAAAGUUGUAUUAAUGAGAAAAAAAAUUGUACUUAUUUUGAACUUGAUCAAUAAAAGAAUUAAGAGGGAGAUGUGUA